This 654-nucleotide ribosomal RNA is filed under the name Niastella koreensis. RNAcentral describes it as "partial 16S ribosomal RNA". The stretch from base 401 to 654 matches the Rfam family "Bacterial large subunit ribosomal RNA", at positions 1 to 262 of the family's 2925-position model. Lineage: Bacteria; Pseudomonadati; Bacteroidota; Chitinophagia; Chitinophagales; Chitinophagaceae. The record is from RNAcentral.
GCUGUUGUCUUCCGCCUUUCAUUAAGUUCUUUAUAGAAACGUUCGGCCAGUUUGCUAUGGAUUUGGCCAAUUGGCUUUACAACUAGAUCCGUAGCUCAGGUGGUUAGAGCGCUACACUGAUAAUGUAGAGGUCCCCAGUUCAAGUCUGGGCGGGUCUACAAAAUAGGAGGGGGGUUAGCUCAGUUGGCUAGAGCACCUGCCUUGCACGCAGGGGGUCAUCGGUUCGACUCCGAUAUCCUCCACUACAACAGUUCUUUUUAUUGAUGUGGACGAAAGGUCUGAUGAUUCGUAAUCAUGGCAUCAACAGAUCAUUGGCAUGUUCAGUGCGCUGGUAAAGUUCUUUGACAUAUUGGGAUGUAACAAGUUGUAUUAGAAAAGGCGAUUUAGUAUCAUAAACUCUUUUAAAGCGAAUAAGGGCGUAUGGAAGGAUGCCUUGGGUCUGAUAGGCGAUGAAGGACGUGGUAAGCUGCGAUAAGCUACGGGGAGCUGCACACAAGCGUUAGAUCCGUAGAUUUCCGAAUGGGACAACCCGGCACACUGAAGGUGUGUCACCCGCCGUAAGGCGGGAGCCAACCUCCUGAACUGAAACAUCUAAGUAGGGAGAGGAAAAGAAAACAAUAGUGAUUCCCUGAGCAGCGGCGAGCGAACAAAAGG